UAUUCCGUCUUUCAUCAGGUU
This is a non-coding RNA of Caenorhabditis elegans, 21 nucleotides long. Lineage: Eukaryota; Metazoa; Nematoda; Chromadorea; Rhabditida; Rhabditidae. The record is from Ensembl.